AAUCAACGCUGGCGGCGUGCCUCAGACAUGCAAGUCGAACGAUUAAAGCUCUCUUCGGAGAGUGCAUAGAGUGGCGCACGGGUGAGUAACACGUAAGUAAUCUACCUUCGAGUGGGGGAAUAACGUCCGGAAACGGACGCUAAUACCGCAUAAUGCAGCGGCAUCGUAAGAUGACAGUUGUUAAAGAUUUAUCGCUUGAAGAGGAGCUUGCGGCAGAUUAGCUAGUUGGUAAGGUAAUGGCUUACCAAGGCUACGAUCUGUAACCGGUCUUAGAGGACGGUCGGUCACACUGACACUGAAUAACGGGUCAGACUCCUACGGGAGGCAGCAGUCGGGAAUUUUGGGCAAUGGGCGAAAGCCUGACCCAGCAACGCCGCGUGAAGGAUGAAGUAUUUCGGUAUGUAAAUUUCGAAAGAAUAGGAAGAAUAAAUGACGGUACUAUUAUAAGGUCCGGCUAACUACGUGCCAGCAGCCGCGGUAAU
Molecule: ribosomal RNA, 482 nt
Filed under: uncultured bacterium
Lineage: Bacteria
Description: bacterial SSU rRNA
Rfam family: Bacterial small subunit ribosomal RNA
Source: RNAcentral